Molecule: long non-coding RNA, 691 nt
Organism: Humulus lupulus (European hop)
Lineage: Eukaryota; Viridiplantae; Streptophyta; Magnoliopsida; Rosales; Cannabaceae
Exons: 3
Source: RefSeq, a predicted model, not a curated record
UCUCUCUCUCUCCUCAGAAAACCUCUCUCUCUCUCUCUCUCUCUCUCUCCUCUACGUGUUACUGUUGCCGACGACGCAGGAGUACUUUCCGGCCACCAUUUUUAGCCACGCGCCGGACCGUUGGAUUCAGAGGCCUCCGAACUAUCGACUCACGCGAGAAUCUAGAGCUCACUCGCCGAUUAAACGCCUCAACCACUCGAUUUAAGUUCGGCCACCCCGCGACUUCAAAGUUGCGAUUCGGCCACCUCGGGCAUCCGUUUGCCGAUCCGUCACCACCAUCGUGCUCCUCGUGUUGUGGGCUUCAAAACCCAAUAACUUGUUCCUACAUCUACCAUAGUUGGGUGGUGGGCCCACCACGAGCCACCGCGAUCCACCGUAGAUCGACGGUCGAAACUUAGUGUUCGAGGUUCCGAAGUACGUUUUGAGUCUCAGAAAAUCAUCGUUUGACUUAUUGUGGAACCCGAUCAUUUUGGAUUUGUAUGGAUUUGAUUGAUUGACUCUUGGUGAGCCGUUUUAAAAUAAGCUAAGGACCUAAGGUGUGGCUUUAGCUGUUGAGCAACUUGUGGAGCACGGACUCAGUAGCAAUGCAAUAAUAGUUUAGAGUUUUCAUAUGGCUGCCUUAAAUUUAAAGUAUUCAUACGUGUAAUAAUUUCUUCUAAUAAGUUUAUAUAAAAGUUUAAAUUUUUCUGUA